Molecule: long non-coding RNA, 1454 nt
Organism: Salvia miltiorrhiza (redroot sage)
Lineage: Eukaryota; Viridiplantae; Streptophyta; Magnoliopsida; Lamiales; Lamiaceae
Exons: 2
Source: RefSeq, a predicted model, not a curated record
GCCUACAAGAUAAUCUAAUCUUAAUAGGUCUUGUGAUACUAAGCUUAGAUAAUAGCAAAGCAAGGCUACUAAGUUCUGAUUCGCUUUGCCCGAGUUUUAAAAGUCACUUUAUAAACUUGAAAAUAAAUUUUCAUCUCAGGAUACCAACAAUACCCUUGCUUGACUUUUCAUAAAACUUUUAGCUAAAAAAAAAAUAAUUUCAAUACAUAAAUAUUUUCUUUUAAAAAACAUAGUAUAUUCUCAUUCUAAAUAAAACAUUUAUAUAUACGCAUAUAACAUAUAAUUCGCAUAAUUAUAUGCAUAUAAAAUUAUGAUGCAGCUGCAUUGCUUAAUAAUUAAGCAAGCCCAUUACUCAAAUUAAUGUAUGCCCAACAAAGCAAAUAAACAAGCCCAAGUUUUAAUUAAUCGUAAUGGCCCAAAAUAAACUCCACCCAAUUUCUCUCAUCUUCUUCACGCAGCCAAUCUCCUUUCUCUCUCUUACGCUCAAACUCCAUAAACCAUCCUUCCCCUUUUCCUUCUCCACGCUGUCUGCCGCCUCCCACGAAUCCGGCGGCGCGUCUCCGGCGAUCACCACCGCCGCCCUCAUCUCUCUCUAUCCUUCUCCUUCGCCCGUCCCUCUCCCUCUGUAUCCUUUCUCCGCCGCACUGCACAGCCAGCACCGGUGGCCGUCACCGUUACUUCCUCAGACCGGCGCCACCCCUUCCUCUGUCUCUAUUUCUUCUCAGACCCUUCACCCACAAUUCCCCCAAAUUUCAGAAACCUUCCUCCCUCAAUCUUAGCCCUAAGUCUCUCUGAAAUCCCCUCCCUUUCCUGUCACUCGACAACAGGCAACGGCUGCCGCCGCUUCACCCUCGAUUCACGGCGAGAAUCGCCGCCCUACUCUCAUCCGGCGACAACAGCACCAGCCACCAGGCCCGCUGUCACCGCCGCCCAGCCGCCCUCCACCAUCUCCAUCUCCCUCGUUCUCUCAUCGGAACGGGCAGCAGCCUCCGCCGCCUUCCCGAUUCUCACCAUCAACGAUCCCGUCUCCCUCUCUAUUCUCACGGCGAACGGCAAAAAUUGCCGCCGCCCCCUUCUCCUUCGAUCCGGACAGCAGCAGCCCUUCAGCCCCUGUCGCCGCUCUCCUUGCUUCAACCCCUCCUAGCCCCGACUGAACUCACGCCACACUAACACGCACAACAAGAAUCAAACGCAGCAAGAUCGAAGCUGUAAAGACUGAAGUUUUAUCAAAAUUAAAGGGCCAUCAGCUCAUCGCAGCACCUUAGAGCUUUGGCGCUCAUCCUCGUUGCUUCCUGUCUCGGCCUCCGACACUCCACGAUUCCUGCAACCUUUACGUAGGUAGGUUCGUUUGCUGAUUUGGCGUGUGUUAUCUGACAUAUUAUAGCUUGUCUGUAUCACUGUAUGUUACUGCUUUUAGUCUUUUUUUUGCAGAAAAAGGAGUUCUUUUAAUUAUA